RNAcentral lists this unclassified non-coding RNA (371 nucleotides) under Hevea brasiliensis (rubber tree). The record is from RNAcentral. Lineage: Eukaryota; Viridiplantae; Streptophyta; Magnoliopsida; Malpighiales; Euphorbiaceae.
GAAAGAAAGAGAAUUGGUGGCAGUAAAACAGAACUGGCUAAGCUUGUAAAGAAGCCGGCUUUGCCUUGGGGUUCGUUUACACUAUACACUACAGUCACUGCAGAUUACACGCUUGCUUUAUAAGAUCCAUAUCUCUUCCUCUACUACCCCUCUCCGUUCAUUGACCAUUUAUAUUGUAUAUAUGGAAAGUAUAUACAUCUGGUAUUCUUAAUCUCACUCUGUGUGCUUUGCACUGUUUGCUUCCAUAGAGAGAUUUAACAGUGGAUUUAACAGAAAAUGAAAAUGGAAGACUGUAAUUUUACAUUUCAUAGGGAAAACGUGUACCUGUCCAAUGGCGGAACUGACGGAGCUAACAAAUAUCUAGGAUUGGC